CUCACCUGUUGCCAAAGGCCAUUUGGAUAGCAACAGGAAGCAGCCAAAUGCCUAGGCAGAUAGGGGUGGGUCCCCUGUGAAACACCACCUUCAAACCAAAAAAACAGCCUGAAGGCAGAAAGAAUGGACUACUGGUCCCAGAUGAAACCCACGACACAGAAUGAGAACUUCUGUUCCUGUUUGCCUGCCCUUCUCCUAUUCUGAGCCCAUAAAAGCCCUGGACUCAGCCAUAUUAUGGGGACUUUCCCACCUUUGGGUGGGGGACCACCCCCAUGUCCCCUCUCUGCUGAAAGCUGUUUUAUCACUCAAUAAAACUCCUGCCUUGAUCACUUUUUGAUUGUCAGU
Molecule: long non-coding RNA, 345 nt
Filed under: Homo sapiens (human)
Lineage: Eukaryota; Metazoa; Chordata; Mammalia; Primates; Hominidae
Description: HSALNT0107470
Source: RNAcentral